AUGGGGUCGCCGCGGCUCAAGCUCAAUGUCGGCCGAGAUGGGGACAGAAUCAGCGCGCUCCACGACGACCUCCUCCUCGGGAUCCUCGAGCGCCUCGACCUGCGCGACGCGGCCAAGGCAUCGCAAGUGCCAUUUGCCCUGAGCGAGUGCUUUUCAAGGAGUGCCACAAACCUGUCUAAACUGUAUCUCAAUUUUGGCUGUCAAAUGAUUUGGAUUAAACCAGAACACCCGAAGGAGCUCACUUAUAUAUUCAACAACCUGAAUAGUUUGGCGCUUUACAAUAUCUUUUCUGAGUGUGACCUGAGCUGGACCUUGUUUAUCCUUGAAGUUGCACCUGCCCUACAGAAAUUCAGAUUAUCUCGAACUCAACACCCAUGUGCCAAAGUGUCCAAGGACAACCCCGAGAAGACUAACAUCGUGUGGGAACCAUCCAAGGAUUUGAAGCACCUGAACCUGAAGUUAUUUAUAAUGUUUGGGUUCGAGGAUGAAGACAAGGCGGCAAACUAUAUAAGGCUUGUCAUGGAACAUGCCGUGGGCUUGAAAAGAAUCGAGUUGCAUGGUAGAAACCCAUGCAAUGGGUGCGAUGCCAUCGACCUUGAGUUCCUGAGAAGAAGAUCCCAGGCGGAUGAAGCUAGCAGGCAUCGGAUUAAGGAGCAACUCACGCAUGGAUCUUCCUCGUCCGUGGAGAUAGUAAUCUGCUGA
RNAcentral lists this ribosomal RNA (702 nucleotides) under Triticum aestivum (bread wheat). RNAcentral describes it as "partial small subunit ribosomal RNA". The record is from RNAcentral. Lineage: Eukaryota; Viridiplantae; Streptophyta; Magnoliopsida; Poales; Poaceae.